This 300-nucleotide ribosomal RNA is filed under the name uncultured Dietzia sp. Its description in RNAcentral is "partial 16S ribosomal RNA". The stretch from base 52 to 300 matches the Rfam family "Bacterial small subunit ribosomal RNA", at positions 547 to 795 of the family's 1533-position model. The record is from RNAcentral. Lineage: Bacteria; Bacillati; Actinomycetota; Actinomycetes; Mycobacteriales; Dietziaceae.
UGGAGAGCGGGGCCGGGGGGGGCGGUAAGACGGGGGGUGGAAGAGUGUUCCGGAUUUAUUGGGGGGAAAGGGGUCGUAGGCGGAUGUAGAAGUCUGGGGUGAAAGUCUGGCGCUUAACGGUGGAACUGCCAGUGGUACGGUAAGGCGUGAGUAUAGUGGAGGUAGCGGGAAUAAGUAGUGUAGCGGUGAAAUGCAUAGAUAGUACGUAGAACACCAAUGGCGAAGGCAGGUUACCAAGAUAUAACUGACGCUGAGGGACGAAAGCGUGGGGAGCGAACAGGAUUAGAUACCCCUGUAGUC